RNAcentral lists this long non-coding RNA (621 nucleotides) under Ananas comosus (pineapple). RNAcentral describes it as "long non-coding RNA (ACOM_LNC023471)". Lineage: Eukaryota; Viridiplantae; Streptophyta; Magnoliopsida; Poales; Bromeliaceae. The record is from RNAcentral.
UUGUACAUACAAAAUAAUUAAAAUAAAUAAACAAAUUAAACUUGACGAAGAUGGAUUAAUUAGAAGUCUUGUGGAGGAAAAGUGAAGGAUCGUAAUAAAUUAAUUAGAAAUAAAAUGGUGAGAAUUAUAAAUGACAGGGGGAACAUUUAAAUACAUUAAUUGAAAGUUUAGUAGUGGGCUAUUUUAGAUGUAUUAAUUAGAUAUGUUAAUUAAAAAUUUAAUGGAGAAUUUAAAUACAUUAAUGGGAAGUUUAGUAGUAGACCAUUUUAGAUGUAUUAAUUAGAUAUGUUAAUUAAAAAUUUAAUGAAGAGAAGGGGAAGAAUCACAUGAUGGUGAAGGUGAAGAAAAACUUGACAGGGAACCAUUUAAAUUCAUUAAUUAGAUACGUUAAUUAAAAAAUUAAUGGAGAAUUUAAAUACGUUAAUUGGAAGUUUAGUAGUAGGCCAUUUUAGAUGUAUUAAUUAGAUAUGUUAAUUAAAAAUUUGAUGAAGGGAAAGAAUCACAUGGUAGUAAAGGUGAGGAAAACUUGCCAUGUGGUAAAACAUAUUGAGGAUUCAUAUAAUUUAAUAGAUUUGUUAAAUGCAUACACAGCAUUAUUCUGGUUCAUUAUGGUAAUGGAAU